UACGUAGGUCCCGAGCGUUGUCCGGAUUUAUUGGGCGUAAAGCGAGCGCAGGUGGUUUAUUAAGUCUGGUGUAAAAGGCAGUGGCUCAACCAUUGUAUGCAUUGGAAACUGGUAGACUUGAGUGCAGGAGAGGAGAGUGGAAUUCCAUGUGUAGCGGUGAAAUGCGUAGAUAUAUGGAGGAACACCAGUGGCGAAGGCGGCCUACUGGACGGUGACUGACGCUGAGGCUCGAAAGCGUGGGGAGCAAACAGG
This 252-nucleotide ribosomal RNA is filed under the name uncultured bacterium. Its description in RNAcentral is "partial 16S ribosomal RNA". It matches the Rfam family "Bacterial small subunit ribosomal RNA", at positions 524 to 776 of the family's 1533-position model. The record is from RNAcentral.